AAAUCUUAGCGGUAGAUCACUUGGCUCGUAUGUUGAUGAAGAAUGCAGCUAGCUGUGAGAAUUAAUGUGAAUUGCAGGACACAUUGACCAUUGACCAUUCGAAGGCACGUGCAGCCCCGGAUUCCUCCCGGGGCUACGCCUGUCUGAGGAUCG
Ribosomal RNA from Agelaius phoeniceus (red-winged blackbird), 153 nucleotides. RefSeq annotates it as 5.8S ribosomal RNA. Lineage: Eukaryota; Metazoa; Chordata; Aves; Passeriformes; Icteridae. The record is from RefSeq and is a predicted model, not a curated record.